CACAUACGUGCGGGCCUUUGUGUGUGUGUGUGAUUGUUUUUGCGUCGCUGUACUGUAGGUCCUUUUGUGGAGGUGCCGCGCUGUGGGCUCAUUCACAGUGUGGGAGCUGCUGUUAUACAGUGGCGCUGAUUCAUUUUUUCUGACCCGCGCGUGCUAUUGUGUAUUGAGGCGGUCUGACGGUUCAUGUUUUUACAUCAUGUAAGCCCUCAGCUAAUUAUCUUUGCCCUGCCUGCUGCUGAGGUCUGUGUGCGGUGUCUUUUUUUUUUCCCUCCUUUUUCCCCCAGUACAGCUCAUUCAAGAAUAGAGACAACAGAACAUGACAUAUUUUGUUAGAUGUUUAAUAAAAAGUCUGAACUCAGGGUCAUCUCACUAGCUUUGUCCAAGGUUUCCACCAGCUGGUUCACGUGGCCUUCUUUAGUGGAUAGAAAAGACCUUAGAUAACUCCAUUUGCUUAGAAAGAUGACAAUAAAUGUAAACUUUUAUAAGCAGUCUUUGAAGUUGUUGUACCCGUCUUUCACAUUGCCUACCUUGUUAUAUUAGCUUCAUGCAAUUAACCUUUUUUGGCUGGCUGGUUACGCUAGGUCAUAUCAAGUAACCCAGGUGUAUCGAGUGCUGAUGUGAAGCAUUAUUCAUUGUCAUAGCUGCCUCGUUUGUCAUUUGCUCAACGUCAGUUUUGCUGUACUGUUUUUUAAAGUCGUGCUUUGUUAAAAAAACACAAACACUACAUGGUUUGCCAUCAGAGUUUAACAAAUAUCCCAGAGGAUGAACUGUAAAUUGUCAAGCCCACACAUAUAUUUUGUGCCCUUUUACAUUUUUUAAAAUUAUUAUUGUGAAUUUUCGAUUAUUGUUGUGAUUUUAUUAUAACUCUAGUUUUCCUGAGCUUCAGUUCUUCUUGUGUUUUUUUUUUUAAAUUUUCGUUCCUUUAUUUCUGUUCUAGUUUUUUUCUCAUCCUUCUGUGUCUUGUGACUUUACAGUUAUUAUAUUGUUAGUCCUUGUUCUUGACUCCUACUCCUUAAUGUGUCAUCCGCGUAUCCUUGUCACUGACUACUCGUUUAUGGCUACCCUUCACAUGUUAGUGUUUUUUCUUUGAGUUACUUCCUGUUUUACUUUGUAGGCUAGUUUCCUGUUGUGUCUAGUUCUAGUUUUACUUCCUAACUUUUCCCUCCUAUAUGACUGCUCCAUAUAGAAGCUUGUUGAAUUCUUGACUGAAAAUGUAAUGUUUUUGCCAUACGUAAAUGAAAAUAAUCUCACAAUUUUGAAUUGUGUCAGUAAGGCCUGAUUUAGACUCUCUGAAGGGAAACUUUGUACAGUUGAAAACUAUGUAAGUAGUUGACCUUUUGGUCAUGAACCAAUGUUUUGCAUGCAUACAUAAUCAUUUAAAAAAAAGAUUUUUUUACUUGACGACAGCAAAAAUAAAUGAA
Long non-coding RNA from Astatotilapia calliptera (eastern happy), 1421 nucleotides. Lineage: Eukaryota; Metazoa; Chordata; Actinopteri; Cichliformes; Cichlidae. The record is from Ensembl.